AGGGUCUUAGCUUAAUUAAAGUAUCUGGGUUGCAUUCAGGUGAUGUUAGAUAAAGUCUUGCAGGUCUUA
Molecule: transfer RNA, 69 nt
Filed under: Nototriton abscondens
Lineage: Eukaryota; Metazoa; Chordata; Amphibia; Caudata; Plethodontidae
Description: tRNA-Ala
Rfam family: tRNA
About the family: Transfer RNA (tRNA) molecules are approximately 80 nucleotides in length. Their secondary structure includes four short double-helical elements and three loops (D, anti-codon, and T loops).
Source: RNAcentral